CAGCCGCCGCGGUAAUACGAAGGGUGCAAGCGUUACUCGGAAUUACUGGGCGUAAAGCGUGCGUAGGUGGUGGUUUAAGUCCGUUGUGAAAGCCCUGGGCUCAACCUGGGAAUUGCAGUGGAUACUGGGUCACUAGAGUGUGGUAGAGGAUAGUGGAAUUUCCGGUGUAGCAGUGAAAUGCGUAGAGAUCGGAAGGAACAUCUGUGGCGAAGGCGACUAUCUGGGCCAACACUGACACUGAGGCACGAAAGCGUGGGGAGCAAACAGGAUUAGAUACCCCUGUAGUCCCUGUCUCUUAUAC
Molecule: ribosomal RNA, 301 nt
Filed under: uncultured bacterium
Lineage: Bacteria
Description: partial 16S ribosomal RNA
Rfam family: Bacterial small subunit ribosomal RNA
Source: RNAcentral